GGGCCUUGGGAGGAGGGUCCCGUAGGGUCAUUUAGAGAGGACAGCCCUUCCUGGGGGCGGGAGGAGUGUCUUGAGGAGGCUGGCAUAAAGAGGUGUGACCAGACUUGGGAAAGCGAUGUGGGUGGGGAGUGCCGUCUGUGGGGACACGCGUGCCGACUGAAGUUCUGACCUGAGAGAUUUCACCCUGUGGACCUCUGGCCCCCUGGGCGGGAGAACUCUGCAUGUAGGGUAGGAAGAGCCUUCGCGGACCGGUCGUGUGGUGCCGUCUUGAACCUGAACCUUCUCCUCCGAUGGUUAUUUGCAGUCCCUUCCACUUUUUUCUGAUGUUUACUUAAGUAUAUUGUGGUUGAUACUUCACUUACUUCCUUUCUAUCUUGACGCCCCCUACUGUCGGAGAUCGUGCUUCGUAAUAGUUGAUGGAUUUUUUACAGCAACUGGUAGACGUGCUCAAUAAGGUAUCUGUGGGUUGGUUUAAGAUCAGCCUUUUAUUACUAAAACUGAAUAAGCCAUUUGAUCUCUGUCUUACCCUUUUUGUGUCCCUGCCAGUGGACUCUUAGUGUUGAGGUGGCCUAAGAUCAGGUGGCAGGGCUGAGAUGGGGCCCUGGGUGCUGCACAGUAGCACCGAAAUCAGUAGCUGGUUGCCUGUCUUUAGAACUGGAGGAGAGUAGGGGCGCCUGGGUGGCUCAGUUGGUUAAGCGUCCAACUUUGGCUCAGGUCAUGAUCUCGCGGUUUGUGAGUUCGAGCCCCACGUCGGGCUCUGUGCUGCCAGCUCACAGCCUGGAGCCUGCUUCAGAUUCUAUGUUUCCCUCUCUCUCUGCCCCUCUCCCACUCACACUCUGUCUCUCUCUCCUUCAAAAAUAAAUAAACGUUAAAAAAAAUUUUUUUAAAGAAAAAAAAAAACUGGAGGAGAGUGUUAAUAAGUGUGUGCAUUGUUCCUGAAUCUGUCAGCUCUAGAGUUCUAAAACAAAGGACUUGUUCAUUGCCUUGUGGCACUUCUGGACCAGGAUUAACCAGGCUAGCUUGGUGGGUUUUGUUUUAGUUUUUAAUAUUUAUUUAUUUUUGAGAGAGAACGAGAAAGGGAGAGAGAGAGAACAAGCAGGGGAGGGGCAGAGAGAGAGGGAGACAUAGAAUCCAAAGCAGGCUCCAGGCUCCGAGGGUCAGCACAGAGGCCAGCACGGGGCCUGAACUCAUGAACUGUGAGAUCAUGACCUGAGCCGAAGUCAGGCUUAACUGACUGAGCCACUUGGGUGCCCUGGUGGUUUUUGUUUUUAAAUCAACUUUCUUUAAAUUCUAAAACCUAUACUUGUAGAAAUGGAAAAAUCCAGUUUGGUGCAGGGUGGUGUGGUUACUUGCCAGUGACUUGGGAGCUGUCUUUGGCUCAGCGGGGAGCCUGUUCUUGAGAUUCCAGCUCUCAGCUGGAGGCUCACUCACACACUUGCUGCGCUCAGCCUCCAGCUCCAGCUCUCCCACAGCUGAGACUCCCGGAGGCCAGCAGCUGGCCAGGGCAUGUGUAUCGGGUAGAGCAGACCCCACGUCAACCUUCCUAGACAUGGUUCCCUGGAUGGCUGAGGUCCUACUCUGGCAUGGCGUCCCAGGUCAGCCUCACAGCACCCAAUGGGGCCUUCCUAGUUCCCCUCUCUGAGAGUUUUCCGGUUGUGCUUCAGAUCUCAGCUAUUUACUGGGAUCCAGACCCGUGUUGCCUUUGUUGUUUAUUCACCCAUAUUCAGUUUUUGUCAUGCCUGACAGGACAUCAGCAUCUUUAUACCACAGAUGUGUUGCUGAGCCACUGGCAGGUGGGCAAGGGAUUUCAAAUUUAAAAUGAAAAGCCUGGGUGGUUCAGUCCGUUAAGCAUCUGACUUCAGCUCAGGUCAUGAUCUCACGGUUUGUGAGUUUGUGAGUUUGAGCCCCAUGUUGGGUUCUGUGCUAACAGCUGGGAGCCUGGAGCCUGCUUUUUGGAUUCUGUGUCUUUCUGUCCGCCCCUCCCCUGCUCGUGCUGUCUGUCAAAAAUAAAAAACACACAUUAAAAAAAAAAAUUAUAAGAUGAAAAGCCCAAAUGACUGUAAAAUGUGAUUCCUGAGCAGUUGGAGACCUAGUUUUUCCUUCUGUUUGUUGAUUUUUCUGCAUUUGUUACAUGCUGUGAUUCAGCCCCUCUUUCAUGCAUUUAGCAGGUAUUAAUUAAGUCCGUACUUUGUUCUGUGCUCUGGGGAUAUGCAUUCUCGUUCUCUCUGGGCUUGGGGAGAUUUUGAGAUGUUGGACUUUAGUUUCUCUGUAUACAACAAAUUUGAUGAGUUGAUCUGUACCCAAAGCUAUGAGGGUCAGUCAGCAUUUAUUGAAGGUGAUUGUUAGUGAUUAGGGUCGAUUACGUAACUUUCGUGGGAUAUAUGUCCCGUGUGACCGCAUCACUGGCUGGCUGGUUCUCAAAAAGUAUUUGUAGUGUUUUCCAACCAUGUAAUUCUUUUAGAAUGGAGAGAAUGGAUUUAUGUGGAAUCAGAGCUCAUACUGAAAUGCCAUCCAAGCAGUAAUGCUGUAUUGGAUUAAUUCAGCAAAAUUUUUAACUUACAGUGUUUUCUAAAAUCCAUUUGUCCCCACAGACCAGUCCAUUCCAGCCCUUGCUGUUCUGCAGAUAUUCUGAUGAGGGUGUUGUGAAGGAGUAGGCUUUGUCAGCAUUCUAAUGAAGUAUUUGAAGUAGAGGAUGUUGGCUUUCCGUCAGGAGGGGGAGCACAGUUCUAGAGCACAUCGCUUGUUGGAGAGCACAAUGAGCUUAAUAUAGAAGGUUCUCUUGCCUGAUUAGCCAAGAUGAGAGCUGGCCCCUGCUUGUUCCUAUGCCACGCAAUCAAGACUGUUCCAGGGAACAUGCUGCAUCUUCUGUGAUGUGCUUUGGCAAACUGUCGUUCAGUUCAGUUCCAAAAGAAUGCCUAUUUGUGUUCCUGAACGCCACACAAUACGUGUGGAGACCCUGGCAAACCCUAGAGGGAGAGAAGCCAGCCACAGUGGAGAAAUCUGUUCUCUGUUGGAGGCCCGUCGUCCGCUCUGAAAUUACUAGCUUUGUUUCUCCGUGAAUCGUAUGAAUUUGGAUAAGUAAAAUAUCUUCGUAUCGUUUUAUUUUUUUAAUUAUUUAUCUUUGAGAGAGCACAAGCGAGGGAGGGGCAGACGGAGGAUCUGAAGCGGGCUCUGUGCUCCCGGCUGACAGCAGCGAGCCUGAUGUGGGGCUCAAACCCACGGAAUGUGAGAUCAUGGCCUGAGCUGAAGUCGGAUGCUCAACCAGCUGAGCCACCCAGGUGCCCCUGAUGAAGUUUUAAGAAAGUCUUGGGAUAUUUGAGCUGGGGCCUGGAAGAUGAUAGGAUUUCAGUAGGUAGCAGAUGAGGAGGGAAGGACAUUAUAGACGGAGACAGUUCGAUGCCAGGAAGCACGCGUGCAAGGGAGCCCGGUAGGUUUGGUGUACGGUGUGGGUGAUAAAGCAGGGAAGUGGGGGCGGGGGGCAGCCUACAGAGGUCCUUAUCAGUCAGCCUGGGUAUUAUCCUUCCGACAGAGCCUUCGGAGGAUGUCUGGCAAGGAACUAAUACAAGGAGACUUGAUGUUAGGAAGGUAACUGCUGGCAGUUAGGAUGAUGGGUUUGGAGAGAGGUGAGGCUGGAGGCGGGAAGCAGGGUAGAAAUGUGUGUGGUAAUCCGGGAGAAAGCUCAUGGAGGGUGGGAGAGUAGCCAUGGGCAUGGCGGGUGCAGGAGACACUUCAAGGGUAGCGUCCGGGUGCCUGGGGGGCUCAGUCGGUUAAGCGUCCGAUUCUUGAUUUCGGCUCAGGUCAUGAUCUCAUGGGUUCGUGAGAUCGAGCCCCACGUCAGGCUCUGUGCUGCCAGCAUGGAGCCUGCUUGAGAUUCUCUCUCCCUCUUUUUCUGCCCCUCCCCGCUCACGCACGCACGUGUGUACUCUCUCUCUCUCUCUCUC
This is a long non-coding RNA of Acinonyx jubatus (cheetah), 3941 nucleotides long. RefSeq lists it as uncharacterized. The record is from RefSeq and is a predicted model, not a curated record. The transcript has 2 exons. Lineage: Eukaryota; Metazoa; Chordata; Mammalia; Carnivora; Felidae.